CCUUGUUUCUGCACUUGAGGGCCAGCUGCCAGCAGCCUCCCUGCACCACUCCCAGGUGGUUUGCUCGUCCCAACGCACUGCAGUGCGGGGAAGGAGUGUGCUCUCCUUCAUAACCCAGCAGGGAUUAACGCAGGCUACUUAGCUGAAUUUAGAAAGUACUUGGUGAAUCAAUAUAAUGAAUCUCAGAAUUCACAUUUUCUCUCAGAUUUUACUAUUGAACAAAUGAAAAGAACAAAAAGUAAAAACAAAUGGACUGAUUUUUUAAAGAUCACACAAGUCAUCACCAUUCCCAGCUAACUGAUGGACUCCCUUGGAAGGUGACGGCUUCUCCCCCACCUGUCUAAGCACACAGAAAACACAUCAAGUCCUCCGUGUGGCUCAGCACCACCUCUUUUCCUCUCACACACCUGGUGGAGACUGUUGAAUGAAUAAACAGACAACCUCAUUUGCACUCUAGAGUCGGUGGCUGGUCUCCAUGGCAACCAGAUUAAGUUUUUCCGCUGAUGUUGGGGGCAAAAAGACAGAAGGAAUAGACGCUAAGAUGGCAGGGGAAGGUACAUGUGGAUUAUAAAGUACUGUCCUCCAUUUCUUUACUGGUCCCAGGCUACCUCCCAGCAAGAAUGGAGAGUGGCUGUUUCUACCUUCUACUGCACACAGAGGAAAAGGGGUCCUGAUCAGUGCUAUCAGUACGAUGGGAAAGGGCUGGGUUACAGAGCUUAGCGCACACCGAGGCCUGCACUGCCAAGGAGCUACAUGCAAUUGCAUCCAUCCAACUGAAUUCUCAUUUCCUGCGUGUGCCUGGCCCUGUGCUUCGUGCUGCGGAGGUGGUUUACAGUAAAAGCAUGUAGACUAAGUGAGGAGAGGUGCCAACACGUAUCAUGGGGAGGGCAGGAGGAGGUCCAGCCCCUGCCUCCCCAACCAGGAGCAGCUGCAGCUCACAGCACCAUUUGCCCUCAAGCUAAGCCACACCUAGUUCUUGAGCUCUGGCCAGAAUGACUUUAGCCUUGCCAAUCUAGCAGCUGGUCAGGCUGAAUCAAGCGUUUUUUGAUAGUUCAUGGAUGCAGCAUCAUCCACUGGGCCUCUAACACCUGGAGACCCACAGAAUUCCUGCCUUCCCUCAGCCAUGACUGGUGGAUUGACUUGGCCUGCGUGACUGGGAUCUGACUCACAUUCCUGACCCAGGCUGGGGCCCUGACACCCUGCCUUUCUCUUGUCUGCAUCUUACCUCAGGCACCUGAACCUAGUUUCAUACCCCUAGGCAGGUUCCUGCUCUAAAGGAGUGGUCGCCCAGAACCACCCUGACAAAAGCUUUCAUACUGUUUCAGCUACUGUUUGCUGCUGGAACUGCCUGCCUCUAUGCCCCAGCAGGGGGACAGAUUGCUGUGGGCCCUGAAGACUGGACCUUGGACCACUCGCACCCACUCAGGCCAAGGUCUGUCAACUUCUGGUACCAAAUUCUUCCUCAUCCCUACAAACCAGGGAUGCCGCCAAAAUACCAGAAAUCCUUAUUCCUGAGCCUGAGGUGGUAUUUGAAAUGGGUCUUGAAGGGUGGCCAGGAUUUGGACAAUAAAAGAGAAGACUUUCUCUGUCAGCACCAGGGUCCUUGAUGAGAGUCAUAGGGUGAUGGUGUAAUUCAUUCAAAUCUCUAUUAGGUAACCCUAACCUCUGUCUGUUUUCAUGGUGCUUUCCGCUGGACUCUCCAUCCCUCUGCUGUGUCUCCUGCCUGCUCCCCCUCGGGUGCUUCCCUGUAUUCCUUUUCUCCUGUACUUUUCCACUUGCACCCUACGUCAGUGUUUCCUGAGCUCACCUCUCCUUUUCCUACUCUCUGCUCUGAUACUGAACACGGGGUGGCGGGGGGGUAGUGGGGAGGGGUGGGGAAAGCUGCUUGCUGUGCCCCAGGUAAUUCUCUCAUCCUCACUGCCAGCUUUAAGGGGAAAUACUGGUCCCAGAAGACAAACCCUUCCUCCUGUCCGUUGGAAACAAGUAGGUUGAUUUUUCCAUCACAGGAGUGAAACAGCAAAGGCUGUUGGUUGUACCAGUGGAUCCAGCGCCUACUAAGAGCUUACUACUCAUUUCUAUCCAUUUAGUGUGGCAUACUCCAGAAGAUUCUCUUGCCCUUCCCUUGACCCAAAAUACCUCCUCUACUGGUGCCUGAAAGCCUACCAUUAACCUAGUCAUUCCUUUGUGUUAAUCAUUACUUUUUCCUGAUGGUCUUCCUUUGAACAUAAAAGCACUCCCAGAAGGGAAAAGAUUUGCUUCCUAAUGCCUCUAUGCAAACGAAGAAUGGAGGGGAAAGUGCCGAAGGUUUCAAACCUUCCCAAUGGGGUUGGAGUAUAAAUCUAAUUUGACUGGGUGGAGAAUUAACAAAAUACAUUGAAAUUAUAGAACUGCUGAUGUUCAUAUAGUCAUUUUUCCAUUUUUUAAUCUUCUUCAUUUAACUAAAACAUACAUACAAUAGUCUACAAAUCUUAAAUGUACAGCUUAAUACAUUUUACAUAUGUAUAUACUCAUGUAACUACCACCUAGAUUAAAUAUAUUUCCAGUGCCCCUGCAUCUCUUUCUGGUCAAUAUUACUCCAAAAAUAACCACUUUUCUGACUUCUGUUACCCUAGAAUAGUUUUGCCUAUUCUUGAGCUUCAUGUAAAUGGAGCCAUGUGGAGCCCAGACUUUUUGACUCAAUAUAAUAUUUUUGAGAUUCAUGCAUGUUGUUGCACAUAUCAGUCAUCUGUCCUUCUCUAUUAUUGCUUAGUAUUCCAUGGUAUGUAUUUACUACAAUGUCUUAAUCCAUUUUUCUGUUGAUAAACACUUGAGUUAUUUCCAGUUUUGCAAAAAGCUGUUUCCUAUUUUGAAUAAAUCUGUUGGAACAUUCUUGUACAAGGUUUUGUGAACAUAUGCACUAAUUUUUCUUGGACUAUACCUAGCGGUGGGAUUCUUGUUUCAUAGAGUAGACAUGUACAUAACUUUUUUAAAAACCACCAAAUAGAUUUUCAAAGUGAUUAUAUCCUUUUGCAUUCCCACCAGCAAAUGCGUGACAGUUGCAGUCACUCCACAUUGGGUCAGUCUUUUCAAUUUUAGCUAUUCUGGCAGAGAAAAUUUUGCAGUACUUUUGCUACGAGAGGUAAAUUCCUGAGCUGGGGCUCAUCGGCAGGAGAAUAGAGGCCUCCUAUCCAUGACAGAUGUGGAAGUAGAAUUCUGAUGAGUUUUUGUUUUGUUUCAUCUUAAUAACGAGAAACUGUGGGGCUAGAAAGCUAGAGAAAUAUGUUUUAUCUUGUAUCAGUACCAACUAAAAGAAAGCCAAUUCUGGGGGUGGUGGGAGGGUGUCACCAGUGGAGAAAAGGGCUAAUUUAGGCUAAUUCUAGGAUAAUACUCCCAGUAGGGUGUUAAGACAAUACUGCAGGCCCAUGUCUGAUGAUCCAGUCAGAAAGGGAGCUCAGACCAGGAUGCUUGGUUGCCAGUAAUAGAGACUAGCUUGAGCUAUUAGGUUGGUGCAAAAGUAAUUGUGGGUUUUGCCAUUAGAAGUAAUGCCAUUCCUUCUAAUGGCAAAACUCGAAAUUACUUUUGCUCCAACCUGAUAGCAUGAUCAAGUGGGAACGUAUGAAAGGAUAUUUGUGUACCCACAGAAUUGACAGAGUUGAGAGCCUGGCCUAGAGAUAAGCAGGAACUGAGGAGGAUCCAGAAGGCCAGGAGCAGGCAGCUCAGUCGAUCAGUGUGCUUCCCUGAUAACUGUUCCUGUCAUCCUUGUGUCACCUGUUCGAGGUUCAAAGAUCCAGAAGUGUUUAUCAGAUUUGGUUGAGCUUAGGCCGCAUGCCCACCCUCAGGGCUGGAGGAAGCAGAAUCUGGCCACUUCACAAUCUUCCAUGGUGGGGAGCAGGUGCCUGGAUUUAUACCCCAUUAAGGCUGCAUCCAUGGGAAUAAGUAAUUCCCCAAAAGAAAUGAGAUGCCAUCAGGAAGGAGGAAUGGAUGUUGAGUAGCCAAAGAAAUGCCACAUGUUCACUACAGGCCUGCCUUCAACAGCAUCAAAUUCACACUAUCGUGUUAAUAGCUUUGGGAGGAUGAAAGGAAACUGGCCUGGACCUAUAGGGUGAGCAAGGAAAGAGAAUUUGACAUCAACAAUAAAGGCCUAGCCAAUUUGCUCACCGCUUCUCAAAUGGACUUGAAUAAGAUGACACUGCGUGACACAAAAUUUCUUCUUUUUUUUAAAAUUUUUUUUAGAUGGAGUCUCACUCUGUCACGCCCAGGCUGGAGUGCAGUGGCACGAUCUCGGCUCCCUGCAACCUCUCUGCCUCCUGGGUUCAAGUGAUUCUCUUGCCUCAGCCUCCCGAGUAGCUGGGACUACAGGCACGUGCCACCACGCCCGGCUAAUUUUUGUAUCUUUUUAGCAGAGACGGGGUUUCACCAUGUUGGCCAGGAUGGUCUUAAUCUCCUGACCUUGUGACCCACCUGCUUCGGCCUCUCAAAGUGCUGGGAUUACAGGUGUGAGCCACCACACCUGGUCACACAAAAUUUCUCAAUUUGUCAUUUUUGGCAUAUCUGAAUCACUCUAGGAUCCCCUUGCAGUGUGGUACAACCUGUGUGAGGGGAUCCUGGGUGGAGGUGGUGGGAGGUGGAGACUGUGGAACGGGGUGAAGAUCACAGCCCAGGUAUGGCACUCUUUUUCAGGUGUGAGCUUCUAAAGGCCUAAGCAAACGUCUGAGACUUGAGGACAAAAAUUAUGGGUUUCAAAAUACAUAAAUCAAAAUACCCAUGAUCUCAGCACUUUGGGAGGCUGAGGCAGGAGGAUCACUUGGGGCCAGGAAUUCAAGACCAGCCCAGGCAACAUAGUGAAACCUCAUCUCUACAAAAAACUUUAAAAAUAGCCAAGGGUAGGCUGGGCGCGGUAGCUCACACCUGUAAUCCCAGCACUUUGGGAGGCCGAGGCUGGCAGAUCACCUGAGGUCAGGAGUUCAAGACCAGCCUGACGAACAUGGAGAAACCCCUGUCUCUACUAAAAAAAAAAAAAAAAAAAAAAAAAAAAAAUUAGCC
This 5022-nucleotide long non-coding RNA is filed under the name Homo sapiens (human). RNAcentral describes it as "HSALNT0111047". Lineage: Eukaryota; Metazoa; Chordata; Mammalia; Primates; Hominidae. The record is from RNAcentral.